UAACAAGGUCUCCGUUGGUGAACCAGCGGAGGGAUCAUUAUCGAGUUAUUCAACUCCCAAACCCUAUGUGAACUUACCACUUGUUGCUUCGGCGCGCGCUUCGGCGCCGCCGAGGACACUUAAACUCUUUGUUUUUAUAAGCAUUUCUGAGUGGCCGAAAGGCAAAAAUACAAAUGAAUCAAAACUUUCAACAACGGAUCUCUUGGUUCUGGCAUCGAUGAAGAACGCAGCGAAAUGCGAUAAGUAAUGUGAAUUGCAGAAUUCAGUGAAUCAUCGAAUCUUUGAACGCACAUUGCGCCCGCCAGCAUUCUGGCGGGCAUGCCUGUUCGAGCGUCAUUUCAACCCUCGAGCCCGACUCUUUUGAGGACGGCUCGGCGUUGGGGGACGGCAGACUCCCCCCGGCAUCUCGCCGGGGACGCCGCCCCCGAAAUCUAGUGGCGGCCCUCCGAGGCGACCUCUGCGUAGUAACUUGUUCUCGCACCGGAAAGCUCAGAGCGGCCACGCCGUAAAACCCCAACUUUUUUCAGGUUGACCUCGAAUCAGGUAGGACUACCCGCUGAACUUAAGCAUAUCAAUAAGCG
RNAcentral lists this ribosomal RNA (581 nucleotides) under uncultured eukaryote. RNAcentral's name for it is "eukaryotic LSU rRNA". The stretch from base 183 to 336 matches the Rfam family "5.8S ribosomal RNA". The record is from RNAcentral.